RNAcentral lists this ribosomal RNA (484 nucleotides) under uncultured bacterium. RNAcentral describes it as "partial 16S ribosomal RNA". It matches the Rfam family "Bacterial small subunit ribosomal RNA", at positions 30 to 507 of the family's 1533-position model. The record is from RNAcentral.
AUUGAACGCUGGCGGCAUGCUUUACACAUGCAAGUCGAACGGCAGCGCGGGCUUCGGCCUGGCUUCGGGUGGCGAACGGGUGAGUAAUACAUCGGAACGUGCCCAGUAGUUGUGUAUAGCGCGGCGAAAUCCGGAUUAAUACCGCAUACGACCUGAGGGUGAAAGCGGGGGAUCUUCGGACCUCGCGCUAUUGGAGCGUCCGAUGGCAGAUUAGCUAGUUGGUGGGGUAAAGGCCUACCAAGGCGACGAUCUGUAGCUGGUCUGAGAGGACGACCAGCCACACUGGGACUGAGACACGGCCCAGACUCCUACGGGAGGCAGCAGUGGGGAAUUUUGGACAAUGGGCGAAAGCCUGAUCCAGCAAUGCCGCGUGUGUGAUGAAGGCCUUCGGGUUGUAAAGCACUUUUGGCGGGAACGAAAAGGACUGUGCCAAUACCACGGUUUGAUGACGGUACCCGCAGAAUAAGCACCGGCUAACUACGUG